This 118-nucleotide ribosomal RNA is filed under the name teleost environmental sample. RNAcentral describes it as "partial 16S ribosomal RNA". It matches the Rfam family "Bacterial large subunit ribosomal RNA", at positions 2483 to 2600 of the family's 2925-position model. The record is from RNAcentral. Lineage: Eukaryota; Metazoa; Chordata; Actinopteri.
CAAUCCCCUUUUAGAGCCCAUAUCGGCAAGGGGGUUUACGACCUCGAUGUUGGAUCAGGACUUCCUAAUGGUGCAGCCGCUAUUAAGGGUUCGUUUGUUCAACGAUUAAAGUCCUACG